This 299-nucleotide signal recognition particle RNA is filed under the name Saimiri boliviensis boliviensis (Bolivian squirrel monkey). RNAcentral describes it as "Metazoan signal recognition particle RNA (ENSSBOG00000001587.1)". It matches the Rfam family "Metazoan signal recognition particle RNA". Rfam says of the family: The signal recognition particle (SRP) is a universally conserved ribonucleoprotein. The record is from RNAcentral. Lineage: Eukaryota; Metazoa; Chordata; Mammalia; Primates; Cebidae.
GUCGGGCACAGUGGCGCGUGCCUGCAGUCCCAGCUACUCGGGAGGCUGAGGUGGGAGGAUUGCUUGAGCCCAGGAGUUCUGGGCUGUAGUGCGCUAUGCCGAUAGGGUGUCCGCACUAAGUUGGGCAUCAAUAUGGUGACCUCCCGGGAGCGGGGGACCACCAGGUUGCCUAAGGAGGGGUGAACCAGCCCAGGUCGGAAACACAGCAGGUCAAAACUCCUGUGCUGAUCAGUAGUGGGAUCGCACCUGUGAAUAGCCACUGCACUCCAGCCUGGGCAACAUAGCAAGACCCCGUCUCU